Molecule: long non-coding RNA, 3731 nt
Organism: Herpailurus yagouaroundi (jaguarundi)
Lineage: Eukaryota; Metazoa; Chordata; Mammalia; Carnivora; Felidae
Exons: 3
Source: RefSeq, a predicted model, not a curated record
GACUGGUAGCAACAUGUGGCCUGACACCGCUCAUGGACCAUUGCUUUCUGAAAGGCGCCAUCAUUAGAGGGAGUUUCAGACAGAGGCAAUGAUGAGCUGUCAACACGUGAGAAAGAAUUGACUAAUGCAACAGACAUGCAACUUACUUUCAUCUAUGAAACUUCUGGUGUUAUUAGAAAGAGUAUAUCCAUGAACAUUAUUAAAGAAUGUUAUUUUACGUGAAGUAUUCAGAAAUAUUUCCUACACUUUGAAUGUUUAAGAAAUAAUACUUACAUUGCCAUUUUCAAAUUAAACUUGUCACAAAAUCUCAGAGCAUAACAGUGAAACAAAGGGAUUGUUUUUCAGAAACAAAGAAGUGUCUUAAAACUACUCAACACAAUUUGAAUCUUUCCUGAAACUUGAUCUACAUAUUUCCCGGCAAUGUAUUUUUACCAACCUUCAAACUAAACUUCUUUGUUAAAUGUAUGACUUGAUGGCGAUGUUGGAUAUGAAACUACUGUAAGUACUUUCCCUUUUAAAUUUCAGUUGUCAAGUCACGUUAUCUAGUUUAUACUUCUCUGAAUUAUAUUCAGUGCUUUCCCAUUCUUUGCUAACACAACAUCUCAUAAAAUCACAUAGGGUAACAUAAUAUGACAGUUAAAUUUAAGAGACCUCUUAUUUUAUUUGAAAUUCAACCAAUGUUCCAAUUUAAUGGCAAUAGAUGAUUAGAGAAGAAAUGACAUCCUCAUUUCAGAGAUAUUUUUACUCCAAUGUAUUUUUAAUGCUCUCAUGUCUUUUAUUAUUUUGACAGGUUUUCAGAAACAGUUUCAGAAGCCCUUGUUUGGGCCCUGAUUUUUUCCAAUGAGAGAUAUUUAAAAGUUUCAUGAGCACACUAUUGUAAUACAUGAUACUAUUGAAUGAAAACAUUCUUAAAAGGUAAUUUAAAUAUUUACAUUGUUGAUAAAACCUUCUAGUGAAAACACCUGCCAAAUAACUAGGAGGCAAAUGACUUUCUCUACUCAAUAGCAUGCAAUCUGAACCAGAACUCACCAAUAAUGAUAUUGAAACAGUUCUGAUGACACAGUGAUGGCACUUACUGAAAAGGGGUCAUGAUAUGUAAGCAUAUGAUAAUAUAUCUGAUAAUUAGAAGCAAAAGACAAAUCAAAUAACAAAAGAUGCAUACACAAGAUCGGAUGUUGAUUUAAAAAAAUAAUAUACUCUUCUUCCUGGACAUUUUAAGUGUCUUAAAAGAUAUCAUCUCUAAAUAAACAAUGCUUUCAUGGGAAAACAAACACACCUUGGUACUUUUCAGGUAGUAUUUUAUACACUGCAAAUUCUAGAAACAAAGUGGAUUCACAUGUAUUGCACCACGUGAUCCUCACAAACAUCUGCAACUCCAUUGAUUUCUCCUGUUAAUCAAUGGAAAACAUGAAAAUCUCCAAGAUCAACUGGCUUCUAUAUUCCACAAAAUCAUGUGGCAAAGUCCCAAUGAUGAUUUCAAGUUGCCGCUUUACCACAGGUAAAGUGCUGUCUUUAGUGACAUAUGCUGGUCUGACCCUCUUCGCCAAGCGCAUUAUCCUGGACUCAUGACUAACCAAAACUCCAAGAGGUUUUUGUUUGUUUGCUUGUUUGUUUUAAAUGUUUUCAAUUUAUAGCACUUGUGCUUACAUUUUGUGUGUAGGUCUCUUUGCCUUCUAAUGCAGUAAAAUUUAAUGCAGUAAAAUCUUAAGUACUGAAAAUUUAUAAAGAGAAGCCAUGAACCUCUUUUAGCAGGUGCAGUUGGGCGGAGACAGAUCCUAUAGGGCAAAAGAGCCAUCAGAGCAAUACAGGGCUAAGAUAUUACCUGCUGUUUACAGAACAGCCUCUAAGGAGUUUAAAGCACGUUACAAAUCCAAUUUGACUAAUCCCAGUGAAGGGCGUGGAGCUCUGCAGAGAACUGCAAAUGAUCACUGCUCUCGUUUACCAUCUCCACUACACUGAAGAGGGACUGUGCCUUCUACUCGAGCAUCAUAAAUCUGUGACACAGCUCAGGCUGGUGCAACACGAACGAAAGCUGAGGAAUGAGGCAGAGAAAGACAAUGGAAAGAGGGAAGAAGCUAAAAUUAUUAAAAGAAAAAAACAUUGUUUCCUUGCCUCACUAAAGCCUUCCAAGGUCUGGUCCACCUCGACCGCAUGUCGAACACUGCUGCUCCUCUCUCUCCAUAUCUGUCGUGUUUAAUAUUUGAAUGUAUUAAAUCAUGGCAGCUGGUCAUUUUAAAGUUUUGCCCACUUUAUCAGGAGACUAACAUCCCAAUAAUGUUCAUAGUUUUAGGGGGACGGCUUCCAAUUCUACCAAGGUUUAUCUUUUUUAGUUUUUCUCUUCAAACUUAAUUGCUUAAGUAGUUUAUAAAUAUAGUAGCUAUCUUUUCAGGAGCACCUCUACAGUGACAGCCACUCUUAAGGUGCAAUUUUCCUCCUUAUACGAUUUACUCCUCAUUACAAACUUACAAGUAUUAGUGUACAAAUAUGAUUGAAUAGUACUCAACCUCAAAAAAGAAGGAAAUCCUGCCAUAUGCGACAACAUGGGUGGACGUGGAGGACAUCACGCUAAGAGAAACAAGCCAGAUACAGAAGGACAAAUACUGCAUGAUUCCACGUAUAUGAGGUAUCUAAAAUAAUCAAAUUCAUGGAAGCAAAGAAUAUAAUUGUGGUUUUUAGGGGCUGAGGGAGAGCAGAAAUGAAGAUUUGCUGGUCAAUAUGUAUAGAAUUUCAGUUAUGGGGGAUGAGUAAGUUCUCAUGAGCUACUAUGCAACAUCAUGCCUAUAGAAAACACUUAAAAAUGUGCAAGGGUGGAGCUCAUGUUACAUGUUAUUACCACAGUAAAAGAAACAUAAAAAGAAAAAUAGACUCCAUGCUCAUUUGAGUUAUGAAGAAGCAGAGAUUCAGAGAUGUUAAAGAAAUGCGCCAGGGUUAUAGAGAUGGUAAGUGGUAAAGCAGAACACACUGUUAUCAUUCAAGGUUCUCAAGACAAAUAUGAGCAGAAACUACAGAUGGAGAUUAUAAUAUUAUCUAUUAGCUAUAUGAUACAUAAUAUUAUUAUAUAUACAAAAUAUAUAUAGAGAGAGAGACUUGAAGGAGUUGACUUGUGUGAUUUUGGGGCCUGGCAAGUCCUAAAUUCACACUGGAAGGCAACUGGCUGGAAACUCAGGUAAAAUUUGAAGUUGCAGCUUGAGUCCUAAAUCUACAGGUCAGGACAUCAGGCUGGAAACUCAGGAAAGGAUGUCUACAUUACAGUUUUGAGGAAGAAUUCCUUCUCUGGAAAACCUCAGUUUUUGCUUUUAAGGUUUUGGACUGAUGGGAUGAGUGAGGUCUACCCACAUUUUUGCAGGUGAUCUCCCCUACUUAAAGUCAAAUGUGACUUGUAUCUACAAAAUACCUUCACAGCAUCAUCUAGAGAGAACUUGACCAAGCAGCACUGAGCACCAUUUCCUAGCCAGGAAAUGGUUUUAGUUGACACAUAAAAUCAACUGUCUACAAUACCUAAAACCCCAAACCAUGUGCUGAACAGUCACAUGGCAAUGCUUUCAAUAUCUGAAAUUUUUGGAGUUCAAUAUCUUACCUAUAAUUAUGUAAUAUAAGUUGUUGGCAUUCCAAUUACCUAUUUACUUCAAUGCAUUUUUAUUAUGUAGUAAAUAUGUGUGUGUAUGUGUACAUAUAUGGAUACAUAUAUACAUCUAUAUGUAUAUACUAACCAAUUUAGACUGAGACUAAUA